RNAcentral lists this ribosomal RNA (443 nucleotides) under uncultured bacterium. RNAcentral's name for it is "SSU rRNA". It matches the Rfam family "Bacterial small subunit ribosomal RNA", at positions 26 to 518 of the family's 1533-position model. The record is from RNAcentral.
AGAACGAACGCUGGCGGCAGGCUUAACACAUGCAAGUCGAACGCCCCGCAAGGGGAGUGGCAGACGGGUGAGUAACGCGUGGGAAUCUACCCAGUUCUACGGAAUAACACAGGGAAACUUGUGCUAAUACCGUAUACGCCCUACGGGGGAAAGAUUUAUCGGGAUUGGAUGAGCCCGCGUUGGAUUAGCUAGUUGGUGGGGUAAUGGCCUACCAAGGCGACGAUCCAUAGCUGGUCUGAGAGGAUGAUCAGCCACACUGGGACUGAGACACGGCCCAGACUCCUACGGGAGGCAGCAGUGGGGAAUAUUGGACAAUGGGCGCAAGCCUGAUCCAGCCAUGCCGCGUGAGUGAUGAAGGCCUUAGGGUUGUAAAGCUCUUUCAGUGGGGAAGACAAUGACGGUACCCACAGAAGAAGCCCGGCUAACUUCGCGCCAGCAGCCGC